Molecule: unclassified non-coding RNA, 236 nt
Filed under: plant metagenome
Description: partial contains small subunit ribosomal RNA, internal transcribed spacer 1, and 5.8S ribosomal RNA
Source: RNAcentral
UUUCCGUAGGUGAACCUGCGGAAGGAUCAUUACUGAGUGAGGGCCCCUCGGGGUCCAACCUCCCACCCGUGUUUAACGAACCUGGUUGCUUCGGCGGGCCCGCCUCACGGCCGCCGGGGGGCAUCCGCCCCCGGGCCCGCGCCCGCCGAAGCCACCUGUGAACGCUGUCUGAAGUAUGCAGUCUGAGACAAUUAUUAAAUUAAUUAAAACUUUCAACAACGGAUCUCUUGGUUCCG